RNAcentral lists this ribosomal RNA (541 nucleotides) under uncultured bacterium. RNAcentral describes it as "bacterial SSU rRNA". It matches the Rfam family "Bacterial small subunit ribosomal RNA", at positions 777 to 1301 of the family's 1533-position model. The record is from RNAcentral.
AAUAGAUACCCGGGUAGUCCACGCCGUAAACGAUGAGUGCUAAGUGUUAGAGGGUUUCCGCCCUUUAGUGCUGCAGCUAACGCAUUAAGCACUCCGCCUGGGGAGUACGGUCGCAAGACUGAAACUCAAAGGAAUUGACGGGGGCCCGCACAAGCGGUGGAGCAUGUGGUUUAAUUCGAAGCAACGCGAAGAACCUUACCAGGUCUUGACAUCCUCUGACAACUCUAGAGAUAGAGCGUUCCCCCUUCGGGGGGACAGAGUGACAGGUGGUGCAUGGUUGUCGUCAGCUCGUGUCGUGAGAUGUUGGGUUAAGUCCCGCAACGAGCGCAACCCUUGAUUCUUAGUUGCCAGCUAUUUAGGUUGGGCACUCGUAAGGUGACUGCCGGUGAACCGAAACCGGGAGGAAGGUGGGGAUGACGUCAAAUCAUCAUCGCCCCUUUAUGACCGUGGGCUACACACGUGCUACAAUGGAUGGUAACGAAAGGGCUGCAAGCCGCGAGGUCAAGCCAAUCCCAAUAAAACCAUUCUCAGUUCGGAUUGU